UUAUGACAUCAUACCACCCUGAACAAACUGAUCCGAUCUGAUUUCAGAAGCUAAGCUGGGCCAGACCUGCUUAAUACUGUUGGAAAAAUAUGCUCUCUAAUACUUGGUGUCAGUGGUGGGCAUGCUGUGCA
Molecule: ribosomal RNA, 131 nt
Filed under: Pogona vitticeps (central bearded dragon)
Lineage: Eukaryota; Metazoa; Chordata; Lepidosauria; Squamata; Agamidae
Source: RNAcentral